Molecule: ribosomal RNA, 413 nt
Filed under: uncultured bacterium
Lineage: Bacteria
Description: partial 16S ribosomal RNA
Rfam family: Bacterial small subunit ribosomal RNA
Source: RNAcentral
AAUAUUGCGCAAUGGAGGGAACUCUGACGCAGCGACGCCGCGUGAGCGAUGAAGGUCUUCGGAUCGUAAAGCUCUGUCCUUGGGGAAGAAGGGAGCCGUAAGGCUUCUUGACGGUACCCAUGGAGGAAGCCCCGGCUAACUACGUGCCAGCAGCCGCGGUAAUACGUAGGGGGCAAGCGUUGUCCGGAAUUAUUGGGCGUAAAGGGUGCGUAGGCGGCCCUUUAAGUCAGAUGUGAAAGACCACGGCUUAACCGUGGGGUUGCAUUUGAAACUGGAGGGCUUGAGUAUCGGAGAGAGUAGUGGAAUUCCCAGUGUAGCGGUGGAAUGCGUAGAUAUUGGGAGGAACACCAGUGGCGAAGGCGACUACCUGGACGAAAACUGACGCUGAGGCACGAAAGCUAGGGGAGCAAACA